UGAGAGAAUAAUGAAACCAAAAGGAGACUC
Molecule: non-coding RNA, 30 nt
Filed under: Mus musculus (house mouse)
Lineage: Eukaryota; Metazoa; Chordata; Mammalia; Rodentia; Muridae
Source: RNAcentral